Non-coding RNA from Pantherophis guttatus, 1100 nucleotides. The record is from RefSeq and is a predicted model, not a curated record. NCBI's taxonomy places the organism in Eukaryota, Metazoa, Chordata, Lepidosauria, Squamata, Colubridae.
UUACACGAGGCAGGAGUGUUACUUCAUGGAGCCCUUCGUUAAGGAAAUGUUUUCUGGGGGAGACAGAGCCACAAUGCCAUAAAUUCUAAGUAACAGAAUAUACACAAACGUGGCCUUCGAGACAGUUGACUUGACUAGUCCCUGCUGUUUUCUUGGCAGGUGUUUUUGGAAGUGGUUUGCCUGUUUAGAGCUGAGAGAGAGGGAUUGGCCCAAGGUGGCUGUGUGCCUCAGGACAAUCAGAUACUUAAUGAGAAGUCAAGCAGGACAGGAACAUACAGUAGCAACAUCUUUCUGCCUAUGACCACUAACAACUGAUGUUUUGUAGGACAAUUUGGUCAGAGAAUGGAUAGUUCUCCACAUACAUGAAGCUGCUGAGAAUGAGGCCUUUGUACAGACAUGAAGGCCACAAUGGUAGUGGUUGCCAUGGCAGCAAAUUAUGACCUAAUGCAAAAGGGUCAUUAGGGGGAUGGAGUUGCCAUGGCAGUGGAAUGGUAAAAGGCGCACCUGACCUUUCCACCCAAUCAGUGUCCUCCCCCCCACCCCCAAAUAAAUAUCUAUACUCCCAAUUUGGUCACCAAGUGCAAACAUUUCCUGCCCAGCCCAACAGGCAGAGGAAGAUGUGAGAGUGGCUGUACAGUACCUUGGAGACCCAGCGAUCCAGCUAGGGUACAGCAGCAAUGGGAAAAGGGGGAUACAGACAUGACUCAGCACACCAGCAGAGUCCCCAAUUAAACCCUGCUCUGGAAACCCAGAGAGAAAGAAGUUACACCCCAGCAAUGUCUAUUGCUUCUGGCUGCUGGUAUCCGAGUAGUACCUUCCUUUACUGAUCUGAAAAUAGGGAAAAUUCUCUCUUUUGAGCAUGAGAUGUGGCAGAAGCAUCUUUCUACCAUCUUACUCGGCUAAAGUAAGCAGAGACAAUUGGAGGAGGAAGGAGAACAGAACAAGGGUAAUGGAAAUCAUAUGUGAUGACUGUGAGAAGCAAUGCAGAGAAUGGAUAUAAGCAAAUACCUACCAACAUUCUAAGUAGACAUCGUCCCUUGCUACUUUGCCACCCUGUCUUAAUUUACUCACUUCAAUAAUUAUAUGAUUUUAUGAGGGAA